AUGAACGCUGGCGGCGUGCCUAAUCCCUGCAAGUCGAGCGAACAGACGAGGAGCUUGCUCCUCUGGCGUUAGCGGCGGACGGGUGAGUAACACGUGGAUAACCUACCUAUAAGACUGGGAUAACUUCGGGAAACCGGAGCUAAUACCGGAUAAUAUAUUGAACCGCAUGGUUCAAUAGUGAAAGACGGUUUUGCUGUCACUUAUAGAUGGAUCCGCGCCGCAUUAGCUAGUUGGUAAGGUAACGGCUUACCAAGGCAACGAUGCGUAGCCGACCUGAGAGGGUGAUCGGCCACACUGGAACUGAGACACGGUCCAGACUCCUACGGGAGGCAGCAGUAGGGAAUCUUCCGCAAUGGGCGAAAGCCUGACGGAGCAACGCCGCGUGAGUGAUGAAGGUCUUCGGAUCGUAAAACUCUGUUAUUAGGGAAGAACAAAUGUGUAAGUAACUAUGCACGUCUUGACGGUACCUAAUCAGAAAGCCACGGCUAACUACGUG
RNAcentral lists this ribosomal RNA (496 nucleotides) under uncultured bacterium. RNAcentral's name for it is "partial 16S ribosomal RNA". It matches the Rfam family "Bacterial small subunit ribosomal RNA", at positions 29 to 507 of the family's 1533-position model. The record is from RNAcentral.